AUUGAACGCUGGCGGAAUGCUUUACACAUGCAAGUCGAGCGGCAGCGCGGCCUUCGGGCUGGCGGCGAGCGGCGAACGGGUGAGUAAUGCAUCGGAACAUGCCCAGUCGUGGGGGAUAACACUUCGAAAGAAGUGCUAAUACCGCAUACGUCCUGAGGGGGAAAGCGGGGGAUCGCAAGACCUCGCGCGAUUGGAGUGGCCGAUGUCGGAUUAGCUAGUUGGUGGGGUAAAGGCCUACCAAGGCGACGAUCUGUAGCUGGUCUGAGAGGAUGAUCAGCCACACUGGGACUGAGACACGGCCCAGACUCCUACGGGAGGCAGCAGUGGGGAAUUUUGGACAAUGGGGGCAACCCUGAUCCAGCCAUUCCGCGUGAGUGAAGAAGGCCUUCGGGUUGUAAAGCUCUUUCGGCAGGAACGAAACGGUGGGCUCUAACAUAGUCCGCUAAUGACGGUACCUGAAGAAGAAGCACCGGCUAACUACGUG
RNAcentral lists this ribosomal RNA (484 nucleotides) under uncultured bacterium. RNAcentral describes it as "partial 16S ribosomal RNA". It matches the Rfam family "Bacterial small subunit ribosomal RNA", at positions 29 to 507 of the family's 1533-position model. The record is from RNAcentral.